AACGAACGCUGGCGGCAUGCCUAACACAUGCAAGUCGAACGAUGGUCUUCGGAUCAUAGUGGCGCACGGGUGCGUAACGCGUGGGAAUCUGCCCUUGGGUUCGGAAUAACAGUUGGAAACGACUGCUAAUACCGGAUGAUGUCGAUAAGACCAAAGAUUUAUCGCCCGAGGAUGAGCCCGCGUCGGAUUAGCUAGUUGGUGGGGUAAAGGCCUACCAAGGCGACGAUCCGUAGCUGGUCUGAGAGGAUGAUCAGCCACACUGGGACUGAGACACGGCCCAGACUCCUACGGGAGGCAGGAGUGGGGAAUAUUGGAAAAUGGGCGCAAGCCUGAUCCAGCAAUGCCGCGUGAGUGAUGAAGGCCUUAGGGUUGUAAAGCUCUUUUACCCGGGAAGAUAAUGACUGUACCGGGAGAAUAAGCCCCGGCUAACUCCGUG
This 436-nucleotide ribosomal RNA is filed under the name uncultured bacterium. RNAcentral describes it as "partial 16S ribosomal RNA". It matches the Rfam family "Bacterial small subunit ribosomal RNA", at positions 29 to 507 of the family's 1533-position model. The record is from RNAcentral.